GCAAACUUGGUCAUUUAGAGGAAGUAAAAGUCGUAACAAGGUUUCCGUAGGUGAACCUGCGGAAGGAUCAUUAUCGAAUGACGCCGCCCGAGCUGUGCGUGACUAAUCGCACGCGAGGGCGUGUUCAUCAUCCUCACACCUGUGCACCUUCGGUCCGCUUCUGCGGUCCGCCCUUUUUUCCAUCAUCAACUCGUCUGCGAAUGUCUAAUCUUGUACAUGCCUAAUGUAUAUGUCACAACUUUCAACAACGGAUCUCUUGGCUCUCGCAUCGAUGAAGAACGCAGC
This 285-nucleotide unclassified non-coding RNA is filed under the name uncultured fungus. RNAcentral's name for it is "partial contains small subunit ribosomal RNA, internal transcribed spacer 1, and 5.8S ribosomal RNA". The stretch from base 1 to 73 matches the Rfam family "Eukaryotic small subunit ribosomal RNA", at positions 1759 to 1831 of the family's 1831-position model. Lineage: Eukaryota; Fungi. The record is from RNAcentral.